Molecule: transfer RNA, 128 nt
Organism: Drosophila grimshawi
Lineage: Eukaryota; Metazoa; Arthropoda; Insecta; Diptera; Drosophilidae
Rfam family: tRNA
About the family: Transfer RNA (tRNA) molecules are approximately 80 nucleotides in length. Their secondary structure includes four short double-helical elements and three loops (D, anti-codon, and T loops). Further hydrogen bonds mediate the characteristic L-shaped molecular structure. tRNAs have two regions of fundamental functional importance: the anti-codon, which is responsible for specific mRNA codon recognition, and the 3' end, to which the tRNAs corresponding amino acid is attached (by aminoacyl-tRNA synthetases). tRNAs cope with the degeneracy of the genetic code in two manners: having more than one tRNA (with a specific anti-codon) for a particular amino acid; and 'wobble' base-pairing, i.e. permitting non-standard base-pairing at the 3rd anti-codon position.
Source: Rfam
GUCAGGAUGGCCGAGCGGUCUAAGGCGCCAGACUCAAGAGCAAUUUAACUCUUGCCUAUCACAGAUAGGCGGAUGAAUGAGCGUUCUGGUCCUCUUUGAGGGCGUGGGUUCGAAUCCCACUUCUGACA